Non-coding RNA from Pelobates cultripes (western spadefoot toad), 896 nucleotides. The record is from the annotation of a GenBank genome assembly. NCBI's taxonomy places the organism in Eukaryota, Metazoa, Chordata, Amphibia, Anura, Pelobatidae.
CCUUUCUAUAUCACUGUUACUGCUCCUACUGGAAGGCUAUUCCAGGUAUCUACUACCCUUUCUAUAUCACUGUUACUGCUCCCACUGGAAGACUAUCCCAGGUAUCUACUACCAUUUCUAUAUCACUGUUACUGCUCCCACUGGAAGGCUAUUCCAGGUACCUACUACCCUUUCUAUAUCACUGUUACUGCUCCCACUGGAAGGCUAUCUAUGUAUCUACUACCCUUUCUAUAUCACUGUUACUGCUCCCACUGGAAGGCCAUUCCAGGUAUCUACUACCCUUUCUAAAUCACUGUUACUGCUCCCACUGGAAGGCCAUUCCAGGUAUCUACUACCCUUUCUAUAUCACUGUUACUGCUCCCACUGGAAGGUUAUUCCAGGUAUCUACUAUCCUUUCUAAAUCACUGUGACCGUUCACACUGGAAGGCCAUUCCAGGUAUCUACUACCCUUUCUAUAUCACUGUUACUGCUCCCACUGGAAGGCCAUUCCAGGUAUCUACUACCCUUUCUAUAUCACUGUUACUGCUCCCACUGGAAAGAUAUUCCAGGUAUCUACUACCCUUUCUAUAUCACUGUUACUGCUCCCACUGGAAGGCUAUUCCAGGUAUCUACUACCCUUUCUAUAUCACUGUUAUUGCUCCCACUGGAAGGCUAUUCCAGGUAUCUACUACCCUUUCUAUAUCACUGUUAUUGCUCCCACUGGAAGGUUAUUCCAGGUAUCUACUACCCUUUCUAUAUCACUGUUACUGCUCCCACUGGAAGGCUAUUCCAGGUAUCUACUACCCUUUCUAUAUCACGGUUACUGCUCCCACUGGAAGGCUAUUCCAGGUAUCUACUACCCUUUCUAUAUCACUGUUACUGCUCCCACUGGAAGGCUAUUCCAGGUAUCUACUACC